Molecule: long non-coding RNA, 1014 nt
Filed under: Cucumis sativus (cucumber)
Lineage: Eukaryota; Viridiplantae; Streptophyta; Magnoliopsida; Cucurbitales; Cucurbitaceae
Description: long non-coding RNA (CSAT_LNC000909)
Source: RNAcentral
CAUUUUCAAUUUAUUACUUUCAACAAAAUAGGGACAUUUUCAAAUAUACUAUAACUAAUCAUUUUUUAUAUUUCAGCAUGAGUGUAUGUAGGUUAGGUUAAGAGACAUUUUCAACCCAACCUAUGGGUUAUAUGAGUUGGCAACAUGAAUAACCGAAAAUCUAGUUUUCAAUGAAACCCGUAAAUAUAUAGGUUAGGUUGGGUCGUCGAGAUGACCAGAGAUGAAAUAUGACGAGGAAGAUGAGAUCUGAUGGAGAUGGAUGAGGAAGAUGAGAUAUGACGAUGCGAGGUCGAAAUAGAGGAGAGAGGAGACUCGUCGUUGGAAACGGAGGUGGACGACGCGAUUGUGAUGCGAGGUCGAAACAGAUGAGAGAGGAGACUCGUCGUUGGAAACGGAGGUGGACGACGCGAUUGUGAUGCGAGGUCGAAACAGAUGAGAGAGGAGACUCGUCGUUGGAAACGGAGGUGGACGACGCGAUUGUGAGGGAGAAUACCAGAGGAGGGAGAGAGGAGACCACAAAGAUGAUCAGAUCUAAUGGUACUAGGUGUAUAUAGAGGAGAGAGGAGACCCGCAGUCGAAAACGAAGAUGGAUGGCGCGAUUGUGAGAAAGAAGAUUGGAGAGUGAGGUGAGAUGAAAAAGAAGAAUUCUAGAGAAAAUGGAAGAUAGCAAAGAAGGGUGCGCGGCUCGAGAGAGGAAGACCUAAUUUUUAUAUUUUAUUUUAUUAAACAAUAUUCGUUUUUGAUUAGGUUGAACCAAAAUUUUCAACUCUCCAAAUGGAGAUCCAACUUAACCCAACAACUCUUAGAAUAUAAAUUGAAUAGUCCGAAUUAUUUGCGUUCAAUUCAUAUGAUUAUGUCGCUAUAAUCUAUUAACGGUAGACAUCCAUAGACUUAUAAUUAAAUAAAAACAACGUUUAAAAACCUCCAGUAUUAGCGAAAAUCUUGAAGGUUAUAAUGGGCCUUGUUGGGCCGGGUUUGAGCCGAUUAAAAGUGCAACACAACGCACGUAUUAAA